This is a non-coding RNA of Chiloscyllium plagiosum (whitespotted bambooshark), 489 nucleotides long. The record is from RefSeq and is a predicted model, not a curated record. Lineage: Eukaryota; Metazoa; Chordata; Chondrichthyes; Orectolobiformes; Hemiscylliidae.
AACAGGUGCUAAAACAUGAAAUUAGGCAUCCACAUUAAUCACACAAGUAGAGGUAAAUGGGUUUGAUCUAAUCUGAGAUGUGGCUGUAUGGUGAUUAAGAUUCAGGGGCUGAAUAUUCUUGCGUACUUGGCAUUUCAAAUGGACAGACAAAGUGAAAAAGAAGCAAUAAAUGCGAUAAAGGAUGGGAUGAGAAUGUUGGUGAAAAUGGAUCCUGACUCACAACAGUAAAAUGUAGAGUUUGAGUGGAUAACAAGAACAUCCUGUACAUCUAGUUUUAAAAUGUAUUGUCUUCACAUUUACCUGAAAGGUAUAAAUUGGCAGAAUUACAAGAUCUUUUCUCCGAUCUUUGAACUGCACAGGUUCAUAACAUACGAGAGUAAAUGGAAGGGAAACGGAAGAAUUUGGCGGGAAAGUUCAAGACUCUUACAUUCAGAAUUUAAUAAAUGUUUCACUUUAAGUGUGCCAAUUUACCAGGACAUGACUAUGUUG